GUAGGUGGCAAGCGUUGUCCGGAUUUACUGGGCGUAAAGGGCGUGCAGGCGGUCUGUUAAGUCUAGGGUGAAAGCUCCCGGCUCAACUGGGAGAGGUCCUUGGAUACUGGCGGACUUGAGGGAGGCAGAGGAGAGUGGAAUUCCCGGUGUAGUGGUGAUAUGCGUAGAUAUCGGGAGGAACACCAGUGGCGAAGGCGGCUCUCUGGGCCUUACCUGACGCUGAGACGCGAAAGCGUGGGGAGCGAACCGGAUUAGAUACCCGGGUAGUCCACGCCGUAAACUAUGGACACUAGGUGUGGGGGGUAUCGACCCCCUCUGUGCCGAAGCUAACGCAAUAAGUGUCCCGCCUGGGGAGUACGGCCGCAAGGCUA
This 371-nucleotide ribosomal RNA is filed under the name uncultured bacterium. RNAcentral's name for it is "bacterial SSU rRNA". It matches the Rfam family "Bacterial small subunit ribosomal RNA", at positions 527 to 896 of the family's 1533-position model. The record is from RNAcentral.